RNAcentral lists this ribosomal RNA (274 nucleotides) under uncultured bacterium. RNAcentral's name for it is "partial 16S ribosomal RNA". It matches the Rfam family "Bacterial small subunit ribosomal RNA", at positions 523 to 796 of the family's 1533-position model. The record is from RNAcentral.
AUACGGAGGGGGCUAGCGUUGUUCGGAAUUACUGGGCGUAAAGCGCGCGUAGGCGGCCUGUCAAGUUGGAUGUGAAAGCCCGGGGCUCAACCCCGGAAUUGCAUUCAAAACUGGCAAGCUAGAGACCGAGAGAGGUGAGUGGAAUUUCCAGUGUAGAGGUGAAAUUCGUAGAUAUUGGAAAGAACACCAGUGGCGAAGGCGGCUCACUGGCUCGGUACUGACGCUGAGGUGCGAAAGCGUGGGGAGCAAACAGGAUUAGAUACCCCAGUAGUCC